AGGACGAACGCUGGCGGCGUGCUUAACACAUGCAAGUCGAACGGUAAGGCCCUUCGGGGUACACGAGUGGCGAACGGGUGAGUAACACGUGGGUGAUCUGCCCUGCACUUCGGGAUAAGCUUGGGAAACUGGGUCUAAUACCGGAUAUGACUACGAAUCGCAUGGUUUGUGGUGGAAAGCUUUUGCGGUGUGGGAUGGGCCCGCGGCCUAUCAGCUUGUUGGUGGGGUGAUGGCCUACCAAGGCGACGACGGGUAGCCGGCCUGAGAGGGUGUCCGGCCACACUGGGACUGAGAUACGGCCCAGACUCCUACGGGAGGCAGCAGUGGGGAAUAUUGCACAAUGGGCGCAAGCCUGAUGCAGCGACGCCGCGUGAGGGAUGACGGCCUCGGUUGUAACCUCUUUCAGUAUCGACGAAGCGCAAGUGACGGUAGGUACAGAAGAAGGACCGGCCAACUACGUGCCAGCAGCCGCGGUAA
Molecule: ribosomal RNA, 477 nt
Filed under: uncultured bacterium
Lineage: Bacteria
Description: SSU rRNA
Rfam family: Bacterial small subunit ribosomal RNA
Source: RNAcentral